GGGGCUGUAGCUCAGCUGGGAGAGCGCCUGCAUGGCAUGCAGGAGGUCGUCGGUUCGAUCCCGAUCAGCUCCACCA
Molecule: transfer RNA, 76 nt
Filed under: bacterium
Lineage: Bacteria
Also listed under: 6 other names
Description: tRNA-Ala
Rfam family: tRNA
About the family: Transfer RNA (tRNA) molecules are approximately 80 nucleotides in length. Their secondary structure includes four short double-helical elements and three loops (D, anti-codon, and T loops).
Source: RNAcentral